ACGGGUGCGUAACGCGUGGGAAUCUACCCUUGGGUUCGGAAUAACAGUUGGAAACGACUGCUAAUACCGGAUGAUGACGUAAGUCCAAAGAUUUAUCGCCCAGGGAUGAGCCCGCGUAGGAUUAGCUAGUUGGUGGGGUAAAGGCCUACCAAGGCUACGAUCCUUAGCUGGUCUGAGAGGAUGAUCAGCCACACUGGGACUGAGACACGGCCCAGACUCCUACGGGAGGCAGCAGUAGGGAAUAUUGGACAAUGGGCGAAAGCCUGAUCCAGCAAUGCCGCGUGAGCGAUGAAGGCCUUAGGGUUGUAAAGCUCUUUUACCCGGGAUGAUAAUGACAGUACCGGGAGAAUAAGCCCCGGCUAACUCCGUGCCAGCAGCCGCGGUAAUACGGAGGGGGCUAGCGUUGUUCGGAAUUACUGGGCGUAAAGCGCACGUAGGCGGUUAUUUAAGUCAGAGGUGAAAGCCCGGAGCUCAACUCCGGAACUGCCUUUGAGACUGGAUAACUAGAAUCUUGGAGAGGCGAGUGGAAUUCCGAGUGUAGAGGUGAAAUUCGUAGA
Molecule: ribosomal RNA, 557 nt
Filed under: Sphingomonadaceae bacterium StTD338
Lineage: Bacteria; Pseudomonadati; Pseudomonadota; Alphaproteobacteria; Sphingomonadales; Sphingomonadaceae
Description: bacterial SSU rRNA
Rfam family: Bacterial small subunit ribosomal RNA
Source: RNAcentral